GCGCGGGUAGUUAAGCGGUAGAAUUUCUCGUUGCCAACGAGGAGACCCGAGUCCGACUCUCGGCCCGCGCAC
RNAcentral lists this transfer RNA (72 nucleotides) under uncultured archaeon. RNAcentral's name for it is "tRNA-Gly(gcc)". It matches the Rfam family "tRNA". From Rfam's summary of the family: Transfer RNA (tRNA) molecules are approximately 80 nucleotides in length. The record is from RNAcentral.